RNAcentral lists this ribosomal RNA (253 nucleotides) under uncultured bacterium. RNAcentral describes it as "partial 16S ribosomal RNA". It matches the Rfam family "Bacterial small subunit ribosomal RNA", at positions 524 to 776 of the family's 1533-position model. The record is from RNAcentral.
UACAGAGGUCCCAAGCGUUGUUCGGAUUCACUGGGCGUAAAGGGUGCGUAGGCGGUCGGGUAAGUCUGAUGUGAAAUCUCACAGCUUAACUGUGAAACUGCAUUGGAUACUAUCCGGCUCGAGGAAUGGAGGGGAGACUGGAGUACUUGGUGUAGCAGUGAAAUGCGUAGAUAUCAAGUGGAACACCGGUGGCGAAGGCGAGUCUCUGGACAUUUCCUGACGCUGAGGCACGAAAGCCAGGGGAGCAAACGGG